AUUGAACGCUGGCGGCAGGCCUAACACAUGCAAGUCGAGCGGAUGAAUGGAGCUUGCUCGUGGAUUCAGCGGCGGACGGGUGAGUAAUGCCUAGGAAUCUGCCAUGUCGUCGGGGAUAACGUCCUGAAACGGGCGCUAAUACCGCAUACGUACAGAUGGAGAAAGUGGGGGGGCUUAAGAUCGCACGCUUUCGGAUGAGCCUACGUCGGAUUAGCUAGUUGGUGGGGUAAAGGCGUACCAAGGCGACGAUCCGUAACUGGUCUGAGAGGAUGAUCAGUCACACUGGGACUGAGACACGGCCCAGACUCCUACGGGAGGCAGCAGUGGGGAAUAUUGGACAAUGGGCGAAAGGCUGAUCCAGCAAUGCCGCGUGAGUGAUGAAGGCCUUAGGGUUGUAAAGCUCUUUUACCCGGGAUGAUAAUGACAGUACCGGGAGAAUAAGCUCCGGCUAACUCCGUG
This 459-nucleotide ribosomal RNA is filed under the name uncultured bacterium. RNAcentral's name for it is "partial 16S ribosomal RNA". It matches the Rfam family "Bacterial small subunit ribosomal RNA", at positions 30 to 507 of the family's 1533-position model. The record is from RNAcentral.